RNAcentral lists this ribosomal RNA (34 nucleotides) under Paramormyrops kingsleyae. Lineage: Eukaryota; Metazoa; Chordata; Actinopteri; Osteoglossiformes; Mormyridae. The record is from RNAcentral.
GCCAGUACUUGGAUGGGAGACCAACUGGGAAAGC